This 255-nucleotide ribosomal RNA is filed under the name uncultured bacterium. RNAcentral's name for it is "partial 16S ribosomal RNA". It matches the Rfam family "Bacterial small subunit ribosomal RNA", at positions 524 to 777 of the family's 1533-position model. The record is from RNAcentral.
UACGUAGGGGGCAAGCGGUUGUCCGGAAUCAUUGGGCGUAAAGAGCGUGUAGGCGGCCUGAUAAGUCGGCUGUGAAAGUCAAGGGCUCAACCCUUGAAUGCCGGCCGAUACUGUCAGGCUAGAGUCCGGAAGAGGCGAGUGGAAUCCUGGUGUAGCGGUGAAAUGCGCAGAUAUCGGGAGGAACACCUAUGGCGAAGGCAGCUCGCUGGGACGUUACUGACGCUGAGACGGCGAAAGCGUGGGGAGCAAACACGG